RNAcentral lists this transfer RNA (63 nucleotides) under Manacus vitellinus (golden-collared manakin). It matches the Rfam family "tRNA", at positions 6 to 65 of the family's 71-position model. Rfam says of the family: Transfer RNA (tRNA) molecules are approximately 80 nucleotides in length. Their secondary structure includes four short double-helical elements and three loops (D, anti-codon, and T loops). Further hydrogen bonds mediate the characteristic L-shaped molecular structure. tRNAs have two regions of fundamental functional importance: the anti-codon, which is responsible for specific mRNA codon recognition, and the 3' end, to which the tRNAs corresponding amino acid is attached (by aminoacyl-tRNA synthetases). tRNAs cope with the degeneracy of the genetic code in two manners: having more than one tRNA (with a specific anti-codon) for a particular amino acid; and 'wobble' base-pairing, i.e. permitting non-standard base-pairing at the 3rd anti-codon position. The record is from Rfam by way of RNAcentral. Lineage: Eukaryota; Metazoa; Chordata; Aves; Passeriformes; Pipridae.
AUUAGCUCAGCUGAUUAGAGCAUGGUGUUAAUGAUGUCAAGCUCAUGGGUUCAAUUCCCAUAU